This 809-nucleotide ribosomal RNA is filed under the name Mycoplasmopsis bovis. Its description in RNAcentral is "partial 23S ribosomal RNA". It matches the Rfam family "Bacterial large subunit ribosomal RNA", at positions 792 to 1617 of the family's 2925-position model. The record is from RNAcentral. Lineage: Bacteria; Bacillati; Mycoplasmatota; Mycoplasmoidales; Metamycoplasmataceae.
AAACGUGCCCGGAUGACUUGUGAAUAGCGGAGAAAUUCCAAUCGAACUUGGAGAUAGCUGGUUCUCCUCGAAAUAGCUUUAGGGCUAGCGUGUAGUGUUAAAUAAUGGUGGUAAAGCACUGAAUAUGGAAUGGCCUCGCCUAGGGGUACUGACUAUAAUCAAACUCUGAAUACCGUUAUGAAUUGCUAUGCAGUCGGAACCGGGGUGCUAACGUCCCGGCUCGCGAGGGAAACAACCCAGAUCGUCAGCUAAGGUCCCAAAAUCGUGUUAAGUCAGAAAGGUUGUGAGGUUUCAUAAACAACUAGGAAGUUGGCUUAGAAGCAGCCAUCUUUUAAAGAGUGCGUAAUAGCUCACUAGUCAAGAGACCUUGCGCCGACAAUGUAACGGGAGUAAAACACGAUACCGAAGCUACGGGUACAUUUAUGUACGUUAGAGGAGCGUUCUUAGGGCAAUGAAGCUAGACUGUAAAGACUAGUGGAGCGCUAAGAAGUGAGAAUGCCGGUAUGAGUAACGAUUCGUAGUGAGAAUCUACGACGCCUAUUGGGGAAGGUUUCCUGGGCAAGGUUCGUCCACCCAGGGUUAGUCAGGACCUAAGGCGAGGCUGAAAAGCGUAGUCGAUGGAUAACAGGUUAAUAUUCCUGUACUUUCUUUAAUUGUGAUGGAGUGACGGAGAAGGAUAAGCAUACCUAUUAUUGGAUUUAGGGGUAAGUAGUUACUGGUGAUUGUAGGCAAAUCCGCAAUCUAUAACUGGGAGCUAUGAUGCAUAGGACUUUUGUCUGAAUUUGCCAAUUCCAUGCUUCCUAGAAAAG